Molecule: transfer RNA, 72 nt
Filed under: Candidatus Dadabacteria bacterium CSP1-2
Lineage: Bacteria; Pseudomonadati; Thermodesulfobacteriota; Candidatus Dadabacteria
Also listed under: 1 other name
Description: tRNA-Val
Rfam family: tRNA
About the family: Transfer RNA (tRNA) molecules are approximately 80 nucleotides in length. Their secondary structure includes four short double-helical elements and three loops (D, anti-codon, and T loops).
Source: RNAcentral
GAGCGCGUAGCUCAGGGGGAGAGCGCUUGCUUGACGCGCAAGAGGUCGCAGGUUCAAAUCCUGCCGCGCUCA